RNAcentral lists this ribosomal RNA (404 nucleotides) under Actinomycetes bacterium. RNAcentral's name for it is "Actinobacteria bacterium partial 16S ribosomal RNA". It matches the Rfam family "Bacterial small subunit ribosomal RNA", at positions 355 to 776 of the family's 1533-position model. The record is from RNAcentral. Lineage: Bacteria; Bacillati; Actinomycetota; Actinomycetes.
UGGGGAAUAUUGGACAAUGGGCGCAAGCCUGAUCCAGCCAUGCCGCGUGAGUGAUGAAGGCCCUAGGGUUGUAAAGCUCUUUCACCGGUGAAGAUAAUGACGGUAACCGGAGAAGAAGCCCCGGCUAACUUCGUGCCAGCAGCCGCGGUAAUACGAAGGGGGCUAGCGUUGUUCGGAUUUACUGGGCGUAAAGCGCACGUAGGCGGACUUUUAAGUCAGGGGUGAAAUCCCGGGGCUCAACCCCGGAACUGCCUUUGAUACUGGAAGUCUUGAGUAUGGUAGAGGUGAGUUGAAUUCCGGGUGUAGAGGUGAAAUUCGUAGAUAUUCGGAGGAACACCAGUGGCGAAGGCGGCUCACGGGACCAUUACUGACGCUUAGGUGCGAAAGCGUGGGGAGCAAACAGG